AGAGGAAGUGACAUCAGUUUUUUCGCAAGUAUUUUCUCUCAAUGCAGAUCAACUGCUUGAUUAUGAUUACUUGUGUGUAAUGACUGGUAUGAAGAAGCUGAAAAGGCCUUCUGUUAGUAGUAGCUUUUCAUGGAGUGGGCAGGAGGUUGCAUCCUUGACUGGACAAGGUAGCCUAUAUAUUAUGGCAAACACACCACUACCAUCGAAAAUUUCAGUGAUCGGUGAUGAUGAUGAUGAUGAUGACGACAAUGACUGUGAACCUGAAUUGCAAGCUACAAAUAAUGGUGCUUCUGAGCAAAGAUCUAUAGCGGGUACAAUAGAAGAGCCACAAACUGUUGCAACGGUUGGGAGCGAAGGUGUAAACACUUCAGACCUUGACAUUUAACAAGCAAUGUUUCCUCAAACAUCAGCAGCUGUCAUAGAGGAGGCAUUAAAAAGCAAUCUUACAAUAGAUUUUGCCAUUGAGGAGUUAUUUUCCCAUUCUGUUGAAUCUGUAGAAACAUCAGGCAACUUUGAAGCAGCGGAAUUCUUUGGACGGCAGUUGACUGGUGACAUUUAUACGCUCUCGGUUUCUAGAGAUAAUUUUUGGCAGGGGGCGUUCAUGUUUUACAAACGUGGUACAGACUUGGAAAGGCCAUUUCGUGUUUCGUUCGAUGAAAAUGGCAUAGAGCUUGGAAUAGACACUGGAGGGCCUCGUAGAGAGUUUUUCCAAAUACUGGCAGAUAGCAUGACGUCGACGUACUUCGGGUUUUUUGAGGGAGAUAUACCAAAUCUUUUGCCAGCGAUGAAAGGACCGGCGUUAAGACUUGGUCACUUCCGAAUAAUUGGAACCAUGAUCGCCCACUCGAUAGUCAAUGGGGG
Molecule: long non-coding RNA, 861 nt
Organism: Dendronephthya gigantea
Lineage: Eukaryota; Metazoa; Cnidaria; Anthozoa; Malacalcyonacea; Nephtheidae
Exons: 4
Source: RefSeq, a predicted model, not a curated record